Molecule: long non-coding RNA, 3105 nt
Filed under: Homo sapiens (human)
Lineage: Eukaryota; Metazoa; Chordata; Mammalia; Primates; Hominidae
Description: HSALNT0239623
Source: RNAcentral
ACAGCGAGGGGGCAUUCUAGGAGAGCAGCCAGGAGCCCCUCCUGAGACAGAAAAGCCAAGUUGCCCCUGGAGCCUCAGAGAAGGAGCAACAAGUAGUCGCCUCCCCCACCGCCACAUAGCUGUCGGGAGAGUCUGUAUUUGAAAGAGAAAGGCAACUGGGACUCCAGCUCCAGGCCCUCUCCUACAGGAAGACUUCCUGGAUUAAUCUGCUAAUCUUCAGCUCAUCCACCUGUUUAAUAGGCAAAACCUACAGAACUAGUCCACACUGAGUGGACCUCUGGGGCUCCCAGCUGCCGAUUGACCUGAACCCCAGAGUGAACUCGUGUUGCUUUGUGGCUUCAGGAAACCUUGGAACAUCUCUGUGCUGUUUUUUCAUUUGUGCUCAAUCAUUCCUGAGGCCUCCUCCUCCUGCUGCAAUUUGACAAGACUUGACCAAAUCAUUAACUCCCAGUUAAUGGGAUAAAAUGAGUUUGAAUCUGGGAUUCUGGUCAUUAACCCCAUGUCACCAUCUGCUCCAGCAGUUUGAUGGCAGGGCUAGGUGAAUUCUAAUCACCCAACACUUGUUAAACUGCUGAUUCCUGCUUCCCCACCUCUGCUGACUCAGCAUCUCUGGGGUGGGGCCUGCAAAGGCUCUCUUCCUUGACGGGGUUAUUGAGGGCAGCUCUAGGAACCCACCCAGGACCAGACCUGAUGAGGAGUUCCUCCUAUGCAUCAGGUAUGCUGGGUCGGUUUGCGGAGUUUCAUAACUUGCAUUUUCCUCUGCCUGGAGAGUUCCUUGCAGCUGGCUUCUUCUGUGUCACGGCCCCACAGAGAUCUUGGCUGGUCUCCCUAUCUCCACCCUCCACCAUGCUCACUAUUCCAUUACAAGUUUCCUUUUCUACCCAGUACUAAUCAUUUUCUGCAAUUCAUCUCAUUUCCUUGUGAACUAUCUGUUGGUCCUACCAGAAUGUAAGUCUCCACCUGGGGGCAGAGACCCUGCCUGGCUUGUUAGAAGCCAUAUCCCCAGGAUUGAAGCAUAUGAGAGAUGCUCAGAAAUACAAGAAUUCAUGAACAAAUGAACACGAGUGAAUUCAUUCAGCUCUGAUGCUGAGGCUCCCUCUCUGAGAUGAAAGAAUGGGGAACCUUCUUCUAAUCCUGGGGAACCUGGGGCCUGUCUACUUCUGUCCCUCUUUCCCCUGCGAAGGAAAAAUAGAAGAAAGAAGCCAUCUCUGUUUGCUUUCUCCCUGUCACUCAAUCUCUGGAGCCAACUGCUUCACAAAUAAAGAGAAGUGCACAGAGAGUCCCUGAAGCCCACCAUCAACAGACAGGCUUUCAACAAAACUGUAUCAGCACCGCCUUGGCCAUAGCUACACUCUACAGAAAAUGGGAGAGAGGAACAGCGCUAGAGAAGUUUGUCCUUGCCUGGUUCCCGGGUGGAACUUCCUCUCCCCCUUGUGUUCUAUGCGUGUGGUUACAGCUGCCUCUGAUCUUUGGUGACCAGCGGUUGGCAGUGGUGGUAUUUCAGCAUACCUUGAUCAUCGUGCUUAUUACACAGCCUCCUUUACCAUCAACCCUACCUACCUUCUUCUAGCCAUGCCCCCCACCUCCUCCCGUCUCUAUCCAUCUCUUCGCUCUUUUAAAAAAUACUUAAGUGUGUACAGAUCACAGUGACUUCAUUUGUGUGCCCAUUCACAUUUGAUGACUUCCAUAACCCCCAUACAAGUAGUUGUGUAUUCGUUUUAAUUCACUUUAUUUAUUUCCUAGCUCUUUCAUAAAAUAAAAUGAAAUAUAAGUAAUGAAAUGGGAAUAAAAAAGAGAAAAAUAGAAUUGAGGGGGAAAAGGAGAAAUGCAUCUAUGUUUGUGAUCACGUUCAUCUUUCUCCAUGCAUCAAUAUGCAUACUAUUAUGAAUUCAUUGCACGUAUUUUAACAUGUAGGCACUACAUGGGGAUGUGGUGUCUACAUACCACCUCUAUAGUGGUAGGCACUGCAAAGGGACAUACAAAAGGUAAAAAGCAUAGUCUCUACUCUCAUAGGACUUUUCAUCUCAUGGAUGUGGCACUCAUAAUGUCUUUUAUCUGUGUCCCACUUGAUGUGAAACUCUUUAGUAGGCAUGAUCCUAUUUGAUUUCCAUAAGCAGAAGAGGGGUCACUGUUUCCAUGUUAUGAGAGAGGAAACUGAGGUUCAGAGAGUGAAAGGACCCUGAUGAGAUAAUGGAACUGGGGCUCAAAUCCUGGUUUCCCGACUCAACAUUUCACAUUCUUUCUACUCUGUCAUUAUUCAUUAGUCAAGUUUCUCCACAGACAACUCACUGAGCCACAACAUAUGAAGCAGCAUGGUAAUGCCACUAGACUGGUCAUGAUCAGAAGAUGUGGCCCCAGGGAAGAGAAAGCAAGAGAGCUGGAGAUAGCAGAGAAAGCACCAAGGAAGGGCUUGGCCGUGCAGCUCUAGCAGGGAGGUCCUUCCUUUCAGCCCCCAAGUGUCCCUCUGUGUCUCAUCUAAAAAGCAAAAAAAGAGGAGAACUAGAGCUUAUGGUUGAAGGCGUGAGAAUGAGGUGUCUUUUCCCUCUAUCUCUGUAAUAUACAAGUAUAAAUACUAUAUAUACAUAUGUAUAUGUGUUCCUUUUUUCUGUGUCUGAUUAUGCAUGCAAUUUAGCAAGGAUUUAUUGCCUAAUUUUGGUCUGGGCACUUUGCUAACGCAAUGGGGGAGGAUACCAAGAAAUUAGGGACUCAGCCUCAUUGUCCCCAGAGACUCCUGGGGGUGGGCAAGGCACGGUGUCUGUGCAUACUGCUGGGGGAGCUCUGGAUUAGGGGACAUCAGGAGACAUGACAUUGAAAUGUCCUACUCAGUUCUCUGUACAGAUUGGAUUUCCGUGGAAGAAAGAAAAUCAACAUGUAUUGGGAGUCAACAUCUCAUUCAGUCCUGUGAGUUUAUUCUGCCUAUUUUUCAGACAAGGAGACUAAGGCUUCAAGACGGUAAGUAAAUUGCCCACAGUGUCACUGCUGGUGUGGGAAUGAGCUUCAGGGUCAUUGAGUCAUGCUGCUGCCCAGGUACCCUGUAAGGCCGUCAAGUGUUGUGGGUAAGGGUUUUGGUGCUGACGUUCAGGUGAUUGUGAGUUUAAAGCCUGG